UUGGAGGGCAAGUCUGGUGCCAGCAGCCGCGGUAAUUCCAGCUCCAAUAGCGUAUAUUAAAGUUGUUGCAGUUAAAAAGCUCGUAGUUGAAUUUCGGGGUUAGUAGGUUGGUCAUGCCUCUGGUAUGUACUGGUCUCACUGAUUCCUCCUUCCUGAUGAACCGUAAUGCCAUUAAUUUGGUGUUGCGGGGAAUUUGGACUGUUACUUUGAAAAAAUUAGAGUGUUAAAGCAGGC
This 234-nucleotide ribosomal RNA is filed under the name uncultured Glomus. Its description in RNAcentral is "partial small subunit ribosomal RNA". It matches the Rfam family "Eukaryotic small subunit ribosomal RNA", at positions 548 to 785 of the family's 1831-position model. Lineage: Eukaryota; Fungi; Glomeromycota; Glomeromycetes; Glomerales; Glomeraceae. The record is from RNAcentral.